This is a non-coding RNA of Phaeodactylum tricornutum CCAP 1055/1, 46 nucleotides long. The record is from Rfam. NCBI's taxonomy places the organism in Eukaryota, Bacillariophyta, Bacillariophyceae, Surirellales, Neidiaceae.
AAACCGGAUUUUCUAAAAUCCACCCAACCCACAAAGGCAGUCAAUU